This 468-nucleotide ribosomal RNA is filed under the name uncultured bacterium. Its description in RNAcentral is "partial 16S ribosomal RNA". It matches the Rfam family "Bacterial small subunit ribosomal RNA", at positions 28 to 507 of the family's 1533-position model. The record is from RNAcentral.
GACGAACGCUGGCGGCGUGCUUAACACAUGCAAGUCGAACGGAAAGGCCCUGCUUUUGUGGGGUGCUCGAGUGGCGAACGGGUGAGUAACACGUGAGUAACCUGCCCUUGACUUUCGGAUAACUUCAGGAAACUGGGGCUAAUACCGGAGAGAAGCUCCUGCAGCACGGUGGGGGUUGGAAAGUUUCGGCGGUUGGGGAUGGAUUCGCGGCUUAUCAGCUUGUUGGUGGGGUAGUGGCUUACCAAGGCUUUGAGGGGUAGCCGGCCUGAGAGGGUGACCGGCCACAAUGGGACUGCGGGACGGAGCAGACUCCUACGGGAGGCAGCAGGGGAGAGUCUGGCGCAACGAGCGGGAGUCUGAUGCAACGGCGCUCCGUGCGGGAUGACGGCCUACGGGUUAUAAACCGCUUUCGCCUGUGACGAAGCGUUAGUGACGGUAAUGAGUAAAGAAGCACCGGCUAACUACGUG